Non-coding RNA from Dipodomys ordii (Ord's kangaroo rat), 65 nucleotides. The record is from Rfam. Lineage: Eukaryota; Metazoa; Chordata; Mammalia; Rodentia; Heteromyidae.
GGUGGCUCAGUGGUAGAGUGCUUGCCUUGUAUGCAUGAGGCGCUGGGUUCGAUUCCUCAGCACCA